CCUGGGCUCCGAGUUGGGGACCAGGAUUUCCCCUUUGUUUUGGUUACGGAUGUGGCUGCGUGAGCGCCGCCCUGGGAUUCUCUUCCCUCUAACUGCAAACAUCAGUUUCUUAGAGCUCCGUGUUUUAAGUCCUGUUUCUCAGCUGUGCAAAAGUGAGCUCUGUCCCGAGUGGAUGGCCAGAAGGGAUGAGAGGGAGAACUCUGGAGGCAAGACAAGAAUGGACGGCUUUGUAUCUCCCCCCCCCCCAGGAGAGAGCGCUGACCCAUUAUCAGUGAAACACUCCUUAGAAAAACCACCCGAGCGUUCCUGUCUCUUUGGGAUGAAGUUACUGAGAUUUGUGAGAAAACCAGCCCAGCCAGUUAUGCCCGCCUGCUUUCUCCUUGAUCAGAUCCUCAGCGGAUCUGCUUUGUCAACAUGAUGGCUGGCAGCCCUUCACUUCAUGUGACCGUGAAGUUUCUUCAGCCUGGUAAAGUCUGAGAACAUCUGGGAAAAGGAAAAUUUUCGAAAUAUUUUUUAUCUGGUUAUUUUAUAUUUUUACCAGUAUAUGUUAAUUAUAAUGACAAUUUCAUUGACAUUUUUAUAGAUAUAUAAAAAUGUAUUUUAGCCGGGCAGUGGUGGUGCACUCCUUUAAUCCCAGCACUCGGGAGACAGAGCUGGGUGGGUCUUUGGGAGUUCGAGGCCAGCCUGGUCUACAGAGCGAGAUCCAGGAAAGGCACAAAGCUACACAGAGAAACCCUGUCUCGAAACACCCCCCCCCCCAAAAAAAAAUGUAUUUUGGCUGGGCAGUAGUGGUAUGUCCCUUUAAACCCAGCACUGAGGUAGAGGCAGGUGGAUCUCUGUGAGUUCCAGGCCACCCUGGUCUACAGAGUGAGAAAGAAAAGUGUACAAAGAAACCCUGCUUCGAAAAACAAAAAAAAACAACAACAAAAUGUAUUUUGAUCUUAUUCUCCCUCCACCAAGCUCUCUUCCCACCCUCCGGUGGUAGCUGGUCCCUUUCCUCCCAGCUAAUCACUCUUUGAUGUGUGUGUGUGUGUGUGUGUGUGUGUGUGUGUGUGUGUGUGUGUCCCAAUACUCAAUGAGUUUCAUCAGGGUGACUCACAGGAGCAUGAAUGACAGGUUAUUUAUCUGAGCGUGGCCACCUUACCCAUGACGACGUCACUGAAGAAACUCUCCCUCCCCCAGCAGCUAUCAGAUUACCUGGAGCUGUUUAGGGCAAGUCGAGGCCUCCUGAGCGCCUCCCUGCCCUACGGCAGGACGCUGCUGGGCUUUGUUCUGUGCUGGUCUGGAGCCAGUAAUCAAUCACAGAUGCUUUGAGCUGAAGAAUGCUAUGUCCAGGUUGCACCGCGGAGGCAGAAUCCUACAGCCCUCCACCUCAUGCUUCAGAUCUCGCUUUCUGUUCACUCCAUCACGGUCCCUGAGCCUUGGAGAGGAUCAUUCUAGGACUUCCUAUUUGUGGCGUAUCAUUCAAUAGUCACUUACUCUGAGCACUUUGACCAGUCAUGAGUCUGCAGUCAUUGCUACCUACUGCAAAAAGAGGUGUCUUCUUUUUGUUUUUCCAGGCGUGGUUUCUCUGUAUAACAGUCCUGGCUCUCCUGGAACUCGAUUUGUAGACCAGGCUGGCCUCGAAUUUACAGCGAUCUGUCUGCCUCUGCCUCCUGAGUGCUGGGGUCAAAGGUGUGCAUUACCACACCUGGCCAAGACAAAACAAAACAAAAAGACUUCUUUUGCUGGGCGGUGGUGGCGCACACCUUUAAUCCCAGCACUCGGGAGGCAGAGGCAGGCGGAUCUCUGUGAGUUCGAGGCCAGCCUGGUCUACAGAGCGAGAUCCAGGAAAAACGCAAAGCUACACAGAGAAACCCUGUCGCGAAAAAUCAAAUAAAUAAAUAAAUAAAUAGCCACCAGUGGGACUAACCCAUGCGGAUAAACAUCAUUAUUUAGAAGGCACAUCAUACCCAUUUGCAAAACGUGAAGCUUCUCCACUACAGGGUGAUACCCCACAGCCAUGGGCUUUUGACCAGGUUUACAGUACCAGAUGUGAAUUCCCUGGGUGGAGCUGGCCUCAAUUCCAAUUAGAAAGCAGUUGGUUACUCAAUAAACAGACUUGCCACUUUCUCACCAGUGAGCUUAUUUUGCCUGGCACAUCCUAGUAUAGAACACACAUUGCUGAUUGUACACCA
Molecule: long non-coding RNA, 2177 nt
Organism: Peromyscus californicus insignis
Lineage: Eukaryota; Metazoa; Chordata; Mammalia; Rodentia; Cricetidae
Exons: 3
Source: RefSeq, a predicted model, not a curated record